UCCAGCAACUGGUAGCUCAUUUGGCAGAGCAUGAGACUCUUAAUCUCAGGGUCACGGGUUUGAGCUCUGAAUGCUGAAA
This is a non-coding RNA of Podarcis lilfordi (Lilford's wall lizard), 79 nucleotides long. The record is from the annotation of a GenBank genome assembly. NCBI's taxonomy places the organism in Eukaryota, Metazoa, Chordata, Lepidosauria, Squamata, Lacertidae.